GCGUCGAGCGGCGGACGGGUGAGUAAUGCAUAGGAAUCUGCCCGGUAGUGGGGGAUAACCUGGGGAAACCCAGGCUAAUACCGCAUACGCCCUACGGGGGAAAGCAGGGGAUCUUCGGACCUUGCGCUAUCGGAUGAGCCUAUGUCGGAUUAGCUAGUUGGUGAGGUAACGGCUCACCAAGGCUGCGAUCCGUAGCUGGUCUGAGAGGAUGAUCAGCCACAUCGGGACUGAGACACGGCCCGAACUCCUACGGGAGGCAGCAGUGGGGAAUAUUGGACAAUGGGCGAAAGCCUGAUCCAGCCAUGCCGCGUGUGUGAAGAAGGCCUUCGGGUUGUAAAGCACUUUCAGUGAGGAAGAAAGCCUUGAGGUUAAUACCCUCGAGGGAGGACAUCACUCACAGAAGAAGCACCGGCUAACUCCGUGCCAGCAGCCGCGGUAAUACGGAGGGUGCGAGCGUUAAUCGGAAUUACUGGGCGUAAAGCGCGCGUAGGCGGCUUGAUAAGCCGGUUGUGAAAGCCCCGGGCUCAACCUGGGAACGGCAUCCGGAACUGUCAGGCUAGAGUGCAGGAGAGGAAGGUAGAAUUCCCGGUGUAGCGGUGAAAUGCGUAGAGAUCGGGAGGAAU
This 623-nucleotide ribosomal RNA is filed under the name Halomonas sp. M394. RNAcentral's name for it is "bacterial SSU rRNA". It matches the Rfam family "Bacterial small subunit ribosomal RNA", at positions 88 to 707 of the family's 1533-position model. Lineage: Bacteria; Pseudomonadati; Pseudomonadota; Gammaproteobacteria; Oceanospirillales; Halomonadaceae. The record is from RNAcentral.